UGCAUCAGAGAGAUUCCC
This 18-nucleotide small nuclear RNA is filed under the name Arabidopsis thaliana (thale cress). RNAcentral's name for it is "snRNA_05143". The record is from RNAcentral. Lineage: Eukaryota; Viridiplantae; Streptophyta; Magnoliopsida; Brassicales; Brassicaceae.